This is an RNA transcript of Anopheles merus, 1393 nucleotides long. It is a transcript of the gene named synaptobrevin-1, with no coding region annotated. The transcript is spliced from 5 exons. The record is from RefSeq and is a predicted model, not a curated record. Lineage: Eukaryota; Metazoa; Arthropoda; Insecta; Diptera; Culicidae.
CAUAUACUUCGAUUGGGUGUGCGCGUGUGUGAGCUCAUCAACUUGUUUUUCAGCGAUCCGUGAAUUUGUGGAUUAACGUUCCUUGUACAAGUUUCUUCCUUAACUGCGAUACGAAACGUUCAUGAUGUCGACACCUGAAGCUGGAAACUCAAAUGGUUUUCCUAAAUUACCGCCUCCGCCUACGGACAGUACGCAGCCGGCUGGAGCCAACGCAUCCAACAAUGCUACCACCAAUCGAUUGAAGCAAACGCAGGCCCAGGUCGAUGAAGUAGUUGGAAUUAUGCGUGUUAACGUGGAAAAGGUGUUAGAACGCGACCAAAAACUUUCGGAAUUGGAUCAGCGUGCCGAUGCCCUGCAGCAUGGAGCAUCGCAAUUCGAGCAACAGGCCGGCAAACUCAAGAGAAAACAAUGGUGGGCUAACAUGAAGAUGAUGAUCAUCAUGGGUGUGAUUGGCGUGGUACUGCUAAUAAUUAUCAUUCUGUCCAUCAUUUAUUAAGCAACAUUUUACUUUGCAUUAUUAUAUAUACUCAGAUAUUUGUUCUUAAAUCGAUGCAUAAAUCUUUGUUGCAACGGGGAGGUUUGAAAAACAUAUUUGUGAUAUAUCUUUGUCACACCGUUUAAUACUACGCGAGGGUAUACUUGAAUAGACGUUCCAACAAAGAACUAAUACCAACUUGUUCUACAAUAAUUUUCUCUUCGUUAACUAUCAUAGAUGAAUCCAAUGUUGUUUUUAAUUUUAACACUAGGGUUAUCCAGUAAUAGCGUGUGUGCAACAAGGACAUUUCACUUUUCAAAUGUAUAUUUAACGUUACAUGUUAUCUGCUGGAAAUUCACAUAUGUUUAUGAUGCAAUAUAUCAUAGGUAAAUAGACGUGUAAAAUCCACAAAUGUCUAUGUUUCAUUACAAGUUACAGGCUUAUAUUUCAAGUAUAGAAACAUAUAUGUAUAAAAAAACAUUGACUGCGAUUCGUAAAGAUAUCACGUGGUUUGCAAUAUAUCUACGCUUCGAUGCACUAUUUCAUUUUAAUCCCUGUUAGCUGUUGUUCAUAUGAAGCUUCGGAGUUUUGUGUAAGGGAAACGUUCCAAUUAGAGUACCAACCAUCUUUUUUCGUGUUUUAUUAAAGUUUAAUUGAAUCAAAUUCAUUUUUUACAUCUAUUUGUUGUGAUUGAAUGUUUUUGGAAAAAGGUGACGGUAUAAAAUAUAUGCAUCAUGGAUUACAUUUCAUAAUCAACAGCGAGGUAUGCAUACAAUUGUGAAUUAGUUUGGAUUGUUCCCGGUGGAGGCUCUUCCAGCUCACCAUCAGUUGAAACGACUACAACGGUCAAGGAACAGGUAACCGAAUCGGCAUGAAUCCAAAGAAAAACACACAUUUUAGGGGGAAAAUGGUAAUUAC